CACACGCGCGUGAACCCUAGCCGAUCCAGAUCCCUCCCCGCCCCCACUCCUCUCCCCGAUCCAGAUCCCAUCGCCGCCGCCCCGCCCUCUCUGGGAUCCACCACUUCCGGUGACGGCGAGGCCAGAUCACCGCCGCCAACUCCAUCAGGCAGAGCUCACUGCCAUCCUCACCCGCGCCCUUAAUCACCACAUCGCCACUCCGUCCCCACUCCUCUCGAUCCCUUCCCCCUCCUCUCCGCAGUCUUCUCCUCGCGACGCCCCACCCUCCACGCGCUCGCCCGCCUCUGUGGCUCCGUCGAUGCUGAGAUCUCCCAGUGCGUCGAGAAAGCGGAGGCAGCGAAGCAGGAGAAGAACCAGACCACGGUCAUCACGCUCAACAUCGAGAUCCGCCGCGCCAAGGCCAAGUUCCUCGAGGAGGACCUGCCCAAGCUGCAGUGCCUCGCGCUCAAGAAGGUACUUGUGUGGUGAGAAGCAACCUCCGGCUGAUCAUCAGGGUCAUGGCGCCCCCUCACCCUAUGCAUUUGAUGGCUCAUAGCGGGGACUUGGAUUGCAUCCAAAAGCUGCUUGCGUGGGGAGCUGAUCGGCUCCAAAGGGACUCUGCUGGGGGGAGAACUAGAUCCCUGCCAUGGUCUUGCCUUACACAUUGUUGGUCUGCUGAAUUUUUGUGCUAUGAGGUCGCUAUCAAUAGCUUCUCUUGCCUAAUGCAUGAUCACGUUAUCUUGGUCUUGUACAUAUGCUAGCAGAAGCUCAAGGUGAAGAAGGCCAUCGAGAAGGGCAACACCGACGGCGGCCAGAUCCAUGCCGAGAACGCCAUCUGCAAGCACACCGAGCACAUGAACUACCUCCGCCUCGCCUCCCGCCUCGCCCCAUACGCCCAUGAGUGAUAUAUACUACUUGCCUGCUGCUAUAUCAUAUUGCUUACUUUUUUACAUCAGAUCAACUAUGAAGAGAAUUGGUGGUGGUUAGGGUGUUUUGGUGCUUAUGUAAUCUUCUUUCAGGCCUUUCGCGAUAGAUUUCUUUAGCUGACAUGUUUAGCAAAUGCUACAGUGCUUAUGGUUUAGUUUUACACCUGCGUAAAAAUGAAUGGCUGCUACCGUUUCUAGUUUUAGGUUGGGAUGAGAUGCAUGUUUGCAUGCUUGUGCUUCUGUCACUACAAUCUAUACUACUGCUAUUGUCAUAUCCUCGUUGUUUUGUUGCUACUAAUAUUUGUCCCAUGUUUUGUUUCCUUGCAUGCUUACUACUACAAUUUAUACUGCUACUAUUGUGCAAGAUGUUCACAUGUUAAUUUGACUAAAAUCUCUUAUGUCGUUCACUUAGCUUGACCCAGAACAGCAGCAUCCUUGAUGCGACUAACCUUCACCUAGUUCUUUCUCUCGCAGACUCGAAGGAGGCCGUAUGCAAGGCACCAAGGUGCAUGGUCCUCGCAAGCGAGGAACGGAGGAUGUUCGACAUCGGCUACGCAAACCACCAUUGUGAGCUCCUCCCUUUGCUAUGGAGCUCCAGGUCUAUGAAAUUUGAAGUUUGAAGCCAUAUAGUAUAGCCCUACUCGGCAAAGAGUUGUCGCUUAUGUUUGAAUGUAAUAGACCGUAAUAUUGUAAUAUUGUAACAGUAGGAAUAUUGGGGUUGUAAUAGACUAUGUACAGAUUGUAGUAGACUUAGUGUUAUUUGAUGAACUACAUUUCUACUGUUGGGUCUGAAAUAUUGAUUAUGUAUGUGAUUUGAAAAUGUGUGGAAUGGAAACCUGACUUGUG
Molecule: long non-coding RNA, 1751 nt
Organism: Triticum dicoccoides
Lineage: Eukaryota; Viridiplantae; Streptophyta; Magnoliopsida; Poales; Poaceae
Exons: 5
Source: RefSeq, a predicted model, not a curated record